RNAcentral lists this ribosomal RNA (464 nucleotides) under uncultured Acholeplasma sp. RNAcentral describes it as "bacterial SSU rRNA". It matches the Rfam family "Bacterial small subunit ribosomal RNA", at positions 912 to 1382 of the family's 1533-position model. Lineage: Bacteria; Bacillati; Mycoplasmatota; Mollicutes; Acholeplasmatales; Acholeplasmataceae. The record is from RNAcentral.
GACGGGACCCCGCACAAGCGGUGGAUCAUGUGUUUAAUUCGAUGAUACGCGAAGAACCUUACCAGGUCUUGACAUCCCCCGCGAUGCUUUAGAGAUAAAGCGGAGGUAUUCGGGGAGACAGGUGGUGCAUGGUUGUCGUCAGCUCGUGUCGUGAGAUGUUGGGUUAAGUCCCGCAACGAGCGCAACCCCUAUUGCUAGUUACCAUCAUUAAGUUGGGGACUCUAGCGAGACUGCCAGUGAUAAACUGGAGGAAGGUGGGGAUGACGUCAAAUCAUCAUGCCCCUUAUGACCUGGGCUACAAACGUGAUACAAUGGCUGGAACAAAGGGAUGCGAAGCAGUGAUGUGGAGCGAAACCCAUAAAAACAGUCUCAGUUCGGAUUGAAGUCUGCAACUCGACUUCAUGAAGUCGGAAUCGCUAGUAAUCGCGGAUCAGAACGCCGCGGUGAAUACGUUCUCGGGGUUU